This 515-nucleotide ribosomal RNA is filed under the name uncultured bacterium. Its description in RNAcentral is "partial 16S ribosomal RNA". It matches the Rfam family "Bacterial small subunit ribosomal RNA", at positions 28 to 523 of the family's 1533-position model. The record is from RNAcentral.
GAUGAACGCUGGCGGCGUGCCUAAUACAUGCAAGUCGAGCGAAUGGAUUAAGAGCUUGCUCUUAUGAAGUUAGCGGCGGACGGGUGAGUAACACGUGGGUAACCUGCCCAUAAGACUGGGAUAACUCCGGGAAACCGGGGCUAAUACCGGAUAACAUUUUGAACCACAUGGUUCGAAAUUGAAAGGCGGCUUCGGCUGUCACUUAUGGAUGGACCCGCGUCGCAUUAGCUAGUUGGUGAGGUAACGGCUCACCAAGGCAACGAUGCGUAGCCGACCUGAGAGGGUGAUCGGCCACACUGGGACUGAGACACGGCCCAGACUCCUACGGGAGGCAGCAGUAGGGAAUCUUCCGCAAUGGACGAAAGUCUGACGGAGCAACGCCGCGUGAGUGAUGAAGGCUUUCGGGUCGUAAAACUCUGUUGUUAGGGAAGAACAAGUGCUAGUUGAAUAAGCUGACACCUUGACGGUACCUAACCAGAAAGCCACGGCUAACUACGUGCCAGCAGCCGCGGUAA